RNAcentral lists this ribosomal RNA (253 nucleotides) under uncultured bacterium. RNAcentral's name for it is "partial 16S ribosomal RNA". It matches the Rfam family "Bacterial small subunit ribosomal RNA", at positions 524 to 776 of the family's 1533-position model. The record is from RNAcentral.
UACGGGGGGGGCAAGCGUUGUUCGGAAUUACUGGGCGUAAAGGGCUCGUAGGCGGCCAACUAAGUCGGAUGUGAAAUCCCCAGGCUUAACCUGGGAACUGCAUCCGAUACUGGAUGGCUUGAAUUCGGGAGAGGGAUGCAGAAUUCCAGGUGUAGCGGUGAAAUGCGUAGAUAUCUGGAGGAAUACCGGUGGCGAAGGCGGCAUCCUGGACCGACAUUGACGCUGAGGAGCGAAAGCUAGGGGAGCAAACAGG